This 495-nucleotide ribosomal RNA is filed under the name uncultured bacterium. Its description in RNAcentral is "partial 16S ribosomal RNA". It matches the Rfam family "Bacterial small subunit ribosomal RNA", at positions 28 to 506 of the family's 1533-position model. The record is from RNAcentral.
GAUGAACGCUGGCGGCGUGCCUAAUACAUGCAAGUCGAGCGAACAGACGGGGAGCUUGCUCCUCUGACGUUAGCGGCGGACGGGUGAGUAACACGUGGAUAACCUACCUAUAAGACUGGGAUAACUUCGGGAAACCGGAGCUAAUACCGGAUAAUAUAUUGAACCGCAUGGUUCAAUAGUGAAAGACGGUUUUGCUGUCACUUAUAGAUGGAUCCGCGCCGCAUUAGCUAGUUGGUAAGGUAACGGCUUACCAAGGCGACGAUGCGUAGCCGACCUGAGAGGGGGAUCGGCCCAACUGGAACGGAGACACGGUCCAGACUCCUCCGGGAGGCAGCAGUAGGGAAUCUUCCGCAAUGGGCGAAAGCCUGACGGAGCAACCCCGCGGGGGUGAGGAAGGUCUUCGGAUCGUAAAACUUUGUUAUUAGGGAAGAAAAAUGUGUAAGUAACUAUGCCCGUCUUGACGGUACCUAAUCAAAAAGCCACGGCUAACUACGG